Molecule: ribosomal RNA, 119 nt
Organism: Cercocebus atys (sooty mangabey)
Lineage: Eukaryota; Metazoa; Chordata; Mammalia; Primates; Cercopithecidae
Source: Ensembl
GUCUAUGGCCAUACCACCCUGAAUGCGCCCGAUCUCAUCUGAUCUCAGAAGCUAAGCAGGUUUGGGUCUGGUUAGUACUUUGGCGGGAGACUGCCUGGGAAUAACGGGUGCUGGAGGCU